Molecule: ribosomal RNA, 245 nt
Filed under: uncultured Lactococcus sp.
Lineage: Bacteria; Bacillati; Bacillota; Bacilli; Lactobacillales; Streptococcaceae
Also listed under: 1 other name
Description: partial 16S ribosomal RNA
Rfam family: Bacterial small subunit ribosomal RNA
Source: RNAcentral
UACGUAGGUCCCGAGCGUUGUCCGGAUUUAUUGGGCGUAAAGCGAGCGCAGGUGGUUUAUUAAGUCUGGUGUAAAAGGCAGUGGCUCAACCAUUGUAUGCAUUGGAAACUGGUAGACUUGAGUGCAGGAGAGGAGAGUGGAAUUCCAUGUGUAGCGGUGAAAUGCGUAGAUAUAUGGAGGAACACCGGUGGCGAAAGCGGCUCUCUGGCCUGUAACUGACACUGAGGCUCGAAAGCGUGGGGAGC